Molecule: non-coding RNA, 72 nt
Organism: Oryza meridionalis
Lineage: Eukaryota; Viridiplantae; Streptophyta; Magnoliopsida; Poales; Poaceae
Source: Rfam
GGUUCCAUGGUGUAGUGGUUAGCACUCCAGACUUUGAAUCUGGCGACCUGGGUUCGAAUCCCGGUGGGACCU